Non-coding RNA from Lolium perenne, 6236 nucleotides. The record is from RefSeq and is a predicted model, not a curated record. NCBI's taxonomy places the organism in Eukaryota, Viridiplantae, Streptophyta, Magnoliopsida, Poales, Poaceae.
UUGGAUUUUCGGCCGUCCGAUCGAGCUGACGUGGCGCGAUCUCGGCCGGCCGUUCCGUCCAGGGCGCGAGGCCUCGCACGAACCCACGUUUUAUCCAUGGGUCGUGUAAAAGCCCGCCUGGCCCGGUCGUGCCGCCAAUCAUGUGUCGCGCCUCUCCUCCCCAAUCCCAUCUCUGCCCGUCGCCCUCCCUGGCCCAAUCCUCCCUCGCCUCGACGUCGCCGCCGUCGGGCUGCCCGGCGGAAGUAGCGCCGCCUCGUCGUCGCCAUCGCCGGCGGCUGCCGGUGGAGGCAGCAGGUCGCCGCCUCCUCGCCGCUCCAAGCGGAAGCAGCGCUGCCUCAUCCUCCAAUCCUUGGUCUGUCCUCCUCUUCUCAAUCCUCACUCUCUUCCCAAGCGCGGCGUGCUGCCUCCACGAGCGCGAGGGUCCUGGUGGGUUGCCCCUGGCACUGCAUAGAAGCUCCAAUGGGGUCCUCGCUCCUUGUUUUCUCGCGGACGACCUCUACACCAGUACGUCACCAUGCCACCACGAGCCCCAUCGCUCCCUCCUCUCCAAGGAACAGCUGCAUAUAUUGGGAUUGCCAAAUAGAAGAGGUCACCUGGGAGUGGAUUCAGGAGAUGAAAGAUUCCAUGAUGACUCUGUUGGAACAUACCAAUUGCAUGGACAAGUAUUGCAGCUGGUUAAUUUGUUGCUUGCUAAUUUUUAUUCCAUUAUCCAUGAAAGUGUUCUGAUAUAUAUAUAAUAUAAUUAAGGUGUUCCAUCCACGGACACUCAACAAGCAAUAAGAUUGGAUGAUACUUAGUUUAACCAAAGAUUUCCAAGUCCUAAGGUGCUGGUUCCAGUUGUUGAAAGAGCCCAGCAGCUUCGUGGCGGCAGUGCGUCUUCUGCUCUUUCCGUAUGAUAUAUAGCUCUCAUGUGGUUUUGUAUUCUGUGUUUCUUACCUUUGCAAUGGUUAUCUUUGACAGAGACUGUAAAUUUCCUAAUGAUUUUCCUCUUAUUGUAGAUUUCCUCUAUAGUGUCCGUGUCUCAUGUUGUUUUCCUGAUGCUUGUAGGCCUUUGUCGAUAUGUAGAAUGAAGCAUAGAUUAUUUUGCACUUCAUUUCUGAAGUUUAUAAAAAAAGAGGAGAUUCCUACCUCUUAAUAAAGUAUACAGAUCUAAUUUCUGAUUAAGGAUACAGUUUCCUCCAUUGAAACAACAGAUUAACAGUAACUCUUGUAGGUUGUGUCCAAUGUCCUCCCUGUGUUGGCGAUGACCCAGGCAAUUAGCAUUCCAGGUAUUCGUGCAGUGUACUACUUUUGCUUGUUGCUGCUUGGAGCUAUGGAAAUAUUCCCUUUCUAUUUGUCAUAUAUCCCGCAGGUUAGAAAUAAGUAAGUAAGAUACAAACUCCGGCAUGAUAUUGAAAUAAUUAAGUUUGAAAUGGAUGUGGCAUAUUUUUAAAUAUGUGCCAGGGGAGGACCAAGACUUUAAUAGCAUGUGUUAUCUGCCUGAUUUGACAGUUUACAUACUUCAGCAGGAGAUACAAAAUGAUUAGAGCUUAAACUGUGAGGCUAAUAAAGAGCACUUGUGUACAAACAUGGAUAUUUCCAUACCUGAUUAAACACAUCCGGGAGAAUAAGAUUUAGUUCAGUACAACGUUUUGAGUGAUAAAUAUUUAGACUUGGUAGAAGUGAUUCAUGCUAUAAUAAUGCUAAUCUCUGGGUUAAAACCUCCUUGAUUAGGUGUCAUAUUUUAGUGUAGUUAAUAUCUUGGGGCUACCACCUGCAUAUGAUGCAGAUACUUUGUUUAUUAGAACAGAAAAUCAAUCUUGCGAGUUAUCCCAUCAGGCAUUUCACCUCCUUGAUUCAGAACAGAAAACCAACUGAUGUUUGUUGGAAUGUUGUACCUGUUUUCUUAUAGCCAUCGAACUCAAUAUUUAUGUUUUGAUACAAACGUAUAUAAUUUUAUACCUGAUACAUGUUUAGGGAGGACAUGCAACUGACGCUCAAGAAAAAUAAAGUAUUUUCAUGUAUUUUUUUGGCAAGACCUUCAUUUAUACUUAUGUACUGUUAUAAAUGACAUCUGAGAUAAAGAAUGAACAUUUGAGUAUUACCAGGUGAUAAAGAAGCAUUUCCAUAGUGGAAUGUCUCGCUGCGGAGGAGCGGGGUCACUCUGAGCGUAAUCAUAAGAUUAUCCUCGGAAAUGAAGGAUCAAUUGCAGUUUCUAUUAUGCUAGAGUCAAAGUUCUCGAAUUUACUGUAGAGUAUGACUCAGACAACAAACCAUUCCAAGAGACAGUUAAACCUAUGGUAGAUGGUGGAACAGAAGGUUUCGAAGGUUAUGCUAGAGUCAUUAUGCCAAGGAUAACACCUUGUUUUGAGCGCAACAUAUGGAUUUUCUCUCCCUAUAUAAAGUUUCCAUUAUGUACCUUCGCCAAGACUUAGAGUACUGCUGCUCAUUGCAUUGAGUAUGCUCGUUUCAUCAAAUGGGACAAGAACAUAUGCAGUGGAUUUAUUCAGAGGUUUGUUCUACUGUUAUGACAUGUAAUUUAGGUAGUGCUAUUCUUUCCCAGUCUAAUUUUCCAUUUACACAUGUACAUGCUUAAAGAGAACAUAACUUUUUGGUGUUUCUGGAGUUACAUAUUCUUUGACUCAAGUUGUUUUCUUCUUCGUUUAUUCUCCAGACCUUAGAUGUAAUUUUAUUUCUUCCUUGUCUAUCCAAGAGUUUAAUACAUUUUCUAAAUUCACUAAUAAUGUAUUCCAUCAUUAAAAAUUAUAACAUUCUUGCUAGAAUCAUAGCAUGUGGUAUUUUAUUACCUUUAUUACACAUGAAACCAAUCCAACCUUAUUAUGUUAACCUCAUAUUCAAAUGUCCCAGCAAUAUGGUGUUCGGCAGGUGAAAAUUCCGCUGCCAGUGGCGGACGUUUCGGACGUUUCGUGAGUGUGGAUGGCAUUGCAGCUCAAAUACGAAACCUGACAUAUAGAAUUGUAGCCCUGUCAAGAUUAUCACGUUUCUCUAGCAGUCUGAUGUACUCCAAUACUAGGCUUUUAUUUCUGCUGCUUUUUCAUUGGAACCUUUGAAGCUUGUUUUUGGCUGCACCAGAAGUGUGUCAAAUUCGUUGCAUCAGGCCCCAUUCUUAGUUUGUUACUCAAAUAGUUGGUGCCACCAAAUAGUAAGAACGAAUGUUAUAUUUAACAAGUUAUUUAUGAAUAUUUUUAUUCUUACAUAUUAGCCAAAUCUAUUACCAUCUAAAUGCAAAAUAUAUGUAUGCCAAAAAUCCUGAGAUUUUCCAAGUGGACCAUGCAUAAAUGUGAUUUAGUCAGAAAGGCAUAGCACAACAUUUUUUCAGAAAAUGCCACACGAUUAGCAUUUCUUGAAUUGCUCUAGAGAUUUGGUUUGGUUAGUUAUUCUCUAUUCUCUAUUCUUGUGGCAGACAUAUAUUUUGCAUUUAGAUGGUAUGACUUGGCCAGUGAUCUCGGGUCAUAUUACAGUUUUUGCAUUGUUGAUAAACUCUUGUUCGGGAAAUCUUUUGUUCGAGCCAUUUAUUGCUUGAAUAUGUUAUAUAUACAUGACUGGAGGAUGGACACUAAGUAAUUCAUAUUCUCUGCUAAACUUGGUUGGUCAUACUUAUGAAUUGGCUUCUGCUAAAAGUAGUGCACGUGGUCAUGCCAUCCUUAUCUUUAUACAUGCCAAGAAGUGGGCCUAAGCUCCAGGUGAGAUCACCGGUAGAUUCAGAUAUGACACCCUUUCCUUCAACUCUUUUUGAAACAUCCAUUGAAAAAUGAGGACUGAUGGAGACAUAUUUAAAUAAGUACUUCAUCACUCGUGUUUUAUUGCGCUACUCAACAUUAAUGUGUCCCAGAUGUUUUUUAGCAAGUCCCUGUUGUAUGGAACUACCUGCCGAUUAUCAAGUCACUUUCCAUUCUUAUAUACAAAGCACCCAUUGUCACUGCAUCUAUAAAUAGCAGAACCAUUCCACUCUUAUAUGUAUCAUACUCAGUUUCUUCUGUAUUGUAUAACCUAUUGUUGCUAAUUUAGGUACAACAAACGUUUUCUAUUUUUUUUGAUCUUCAAUUUAUAUCACUCAGCUAAUGGACCUAAGAUCAUAUAGGUAAUCUACUCCUGUAACUAUUCUUCAUGUGCUCGAUUUGCUUAUUUGUUGUUUAUCAUCAACUUUCAUAAACCUUUAGGAUUUGCUUUUGUUUACCAGCAGCUUCAAGGUUGUCCAGACUGUUUGAAGUGCUCUGUUUUGAGAGGCCGGAAAUGCUCUUUAAUUCUUCUUAUUAAAUUUGAGUUUGCAUUUUGCAAAAAAAAAAAAAAGACAGGUAAUGAGUGCUAGGGAUAAUGACCGGUUCUUCAUUACAAUUCAUCUUUUGUUAUUAGGCUCGAUUGUUUGUCACGAAAUGAUAGAUGUAAUAGGCAUGGUACUUCACUACCAUUAAAUUAUAGCUUACGUACCCUCUACAUGUCAUUGAUUUUUCGUUCAUGAUAUCUGCCUUGGGCUCUACUCUAAGAUCGCAUCUGCAAUGUUGAGCCACGACUGGAGGUGCAGUGGUGGGGUUCGCCGUGGUCGGUCAGUCCUUGGCAAGAUGUCAACACUGGCGAUUCUAGACGCCGAGGCCGCCAAGUGAAGUUGGCCGACUCACUUUUCGCCAAUUGACAUGGCAGCUCCCGCCAUUGGCAGCGGCGCGGUCUUCCCACAAGAAAGCUCCCUCUAUUUUCUCCAUCAGCUUCAGGAUUUUUUUGGGCGGUGCCAACACCAGAAAUUGGUGGAUUGGGAUCACACCAAAUACAGACUUCACCAGAGCCAACCUCCCUGGUUUUUGCAUCAAUCUUGAUUUCCAGGAGGGUAGUUUGCCUGCCAUUUUGACAGCAAGGGGCAGUAGUUGGGCAGCAGUUAUAUGAAACAAAAAUGAAUUCUAUGUCCAGUACGACUAUCUAGAAUAAAAUAACUGCUAUGAAUCCUCAGUUCAUAAAAAUAUUCAAAUUUAAUUUUACUUGAUCAUAUUGACAGUUAGAAGCUUUGAACCAUGUUUUUUUGUGUAUAGUAUGCAGUUUAUACCAUCAGAGUAGCUGCUAAAACAGAAGUGGAUGUAAGAUACUUUGCAUUGCAUAUGGUUUUAGAUCAUUGCCUCACAUGGAGCUGAACCAUCUGUCCGCAAUGUCAUCGCCAAGGUCAGAGACGAAGCUGCCCUUUGGUUCAGAGCUGGCGCGUCGAGCCUGCGUGUCCUCCUGCCGCCCACCUGGGAUGUCCACUGAGUUGUAAUCUCUGUUUAUCUUUUCAGAACCAUGGCCUCUUAGGAGGAUUGUAACAACUAACUCUUCCCUUGUUUUUAAUGAAAUGAAAUGCAAAAGUUUUUUGGGUUUUCUCAAAAAAGAUCAUUGCCUCACCGCCGUUGCCUUUUGGUCAAUUUCUAUCUUCCGUAGGUUGGAUUGAGGUAGAGCAUGGUCACCGACUACCGGAGGUGUUGCAAAAUGGGUCUGCUGGCUGAUACGGAGAAGAAGGCAAGGUUUUGGUGCAUGGAUCAGUAGAAGCUACCUAACAAGUACAUUUUAAAUACAUUGGGAAAAUACCUCAGACUUGCUUAUUUAUGAUCCUCGUGUAUAAGGAAAAAUGAUAUAGCAUCAGAUUUAUGUGCUUACUAGGUUUGUUUGUUCAUUCUGGAGCUUUUUUAAUUCUCAGAAAAAACAUUGUGUUAAUUCUUACCUGAUGGAUUUGAUAAGAUAAGAGAUAACAUUUAAUAGCUAUCGACUUAUCAUUGCCAGUCACUUUUACCACUUCGCUGUCAUGAUUCAAUGUGCACUCAAAAAAGCCUUGGCUGAAAUAAUGAAAUGGAAGAUAUACACUCUGUUCUGCUCAAUCUUUCACAACGGAUCCUUUUUUUUAAAUGCUAUACUUCUGAAAUAUUUGCUUCCUAUUUAUAGGUAUUUGGUUCAAGUGGGCAAGAUUAACUUUUUGUUUUCAUCAUCUACUGCAGGGAAAGAGCAGCUUAUGCACAAAAGGUGUAUAUCUUAUGCCUUUUACUAUAUUGUGGUUGCACAUUGUCACUCAACUUUUUAGUCUUUUGGAUCUAUUUGUAUAUUUAUAUGUUGUUUUUCGGCCACAACACCCGAACAACAGAAUGGUUUUGCCCAUAUACCUGUCCAUUUGAUUGAACACCUAUUUUGGUACAUUUGGUCCGCGGCAUUGCUUUGUGAAACUUAAGAAAUGUAAUAUCAUAUAAGCAGAUUUUUGUUGUCGUUAUACAAAAUAUACAUUGACAUGA